GGUAGUCACGCCAAUGUGGUAUCGGCACCGUUCUUAUAAAGCGGAGAUAGGUAGGUUCAAAUCCUCCGGCUACCA
RNAcentral lists this transfer RNA (75 nucleotides) under Caudoviricetes sp. RNAcentral describes it as "tRNA-Ile". It matches the Rfam family "tRNA". Rfam says of the family: Transfer RNA (tRNA) molecules are approximately 80 nucleotides in length. Their secondary structure includes four short double-helical elements and three loops (D, anti-codon, and T loops). Lineage: Duplodnaviria; Heunggongvirae; Uroviricota; Caudoviricetes. The record is from RNAcentral.